This 5293-nucleotide long non-coding RNA is filed under the name Sus scrofa (pig). RNAcentral's name for it is "lncRNA (ENSSSCG00000052748.1)". The record is from RNAcentral. Lineage: Eukaryota; Metazoa; Chordata; Mammalia; Artiodactyla; Suidae.
GUCUGCGCCUUCACAGUUUGGUCCCGGGAGCCCUUUCUGGAGUUCUCACCUGUGCUCCUCACAGAUGCACCUGCUAAGCAGGUGUUACUGCCCCACUUUACAGGGGCUGAGGGAGGUGGGGAGCCCUAAGGUUCCGGAGGGAGUAGGAGCUCUGCCUGAGGCGAUGAGGCUGGGCAGACCAGCCGGGAGGGAGGGGGAGGGGAGGAGCUGCUCCUCUCUUCUCACAGGGACAGAGCUCUGCUUGAGGACUUGGCAUCAGGCCCCGGGCCAACCUGUAGGGGAAGGAUCAGGCUGUCCGAACAUUCCCUGAGGGCUGAGCCCUUCUUUCCUUGGGAUCCUGCCAGGCUGGAGAUCUGGUGUGUCAGGGUGGCUGUCUCCAUAGGGAGCACAUGGGUUAAAGGUAUGGCUUUUGGAGUAAGACAGCCUUGAAUCUGAAUCCCAGUUCUAGUUCUUUGUCAAUACGUAGCUUGAAGAGUUCCCUCCGUUCUCAGAUGGAGAAUCAUUGUCCUGUGGGUAGGACAUUGUCGUUCCCCACCCCCCGCCCGCCCGCAGGGCGGGAGAAAGGGGGAAUGAAAUCAUCUCUCUGUUCAUUUGAAGAAAUAGUCAUUGGGCACCUAUUGUGUAUCAGGUGGUGGGACAUGAGAUAAAUGAAAAAUGAAUGUGUUUCCUCAUCGAACUCACACUCAAAAACACAGAUGCAACAAAUGACACAGUAGGCUGCAAGGUGAGGAGCUGGGAUAAGGGGAAGUAGAGCCAGCAGUGGGAGGCAGAGGGGAAGGGGUCAGAGUGAGCACCUUUGAGGUGAUGAGAGAGUUCAGACAUAGGGAACAGUGUUCUGGAUGGAAGGAACAGCGUUGCAAAGUACCUGCAUGGACUGUGCAGGUGACUCAAGCAGCAGUGAAAGCAGAGGGGGUGAGGGGUAGAGUGGAUGAGAAUGUGGUCAGCGAUGUGUGGUGGGGAUGGGGGCUGCCCCUCCUCUGUGACCAAUUCCUCAGGAAUUCACUCCUCUGCAGCUGUGAAACCCCACCUCCUCCUGCUGCCCUUUGUCUCCUUUCUCCUUUCCUGCCAUCACAUGGCCUCUUCCUCAGGUCCUUGGGCCCAGAGGCCUCCCCCAGUAUGGCUUGUGACCCUCUUCCCCACAGGGCAGCCCCCACCCCAGCUGAGCUCCCUGCCUCUGCCUCCUGUUUGAGGAGGGUGCUGUGUCUGCUCUGGCCAGUUUCAGGGAGCAUCACAAAGGCUCCUUUCACCAGAGGGCAUUGUAGGGGGACUGGGAGGGGACGCGGUGCCCUCCUGCCUGUGGGCAUAAAGACCCCCUUUCUCUUGUGCUGCGUCAGUCCUCUGUCUCUCUCUCUACUGGCAGGCAGAGGGGCCCCGUGCAGGGAGAUUCUUGUCCUUCCUUUUAAAGUACUGGGGCCAGGCCAGACAAUGACGGUGAUUUAUAGUUGCUGGGCCGCGGGGCUGCCUGCUGGGGUGGCAUUGAUUGGCCAGGAGUGCCUGGAUGCAGAGAACCCUGCACCACUGGGUCUGGGGGUGUCUGCCUAGGACCCCACAGGGGGAGCCCUGACUUACCAGCUAUUAAGUGAAAGGGUGCUGGUAAUUUCAGACUCCUCCAGCUCUGCUGUGCUGGGCUGCUGCUUCAACUGGCCUCUGCUUGAGUCUGUUAGCUCUGGAUUUCUCAGCCCCAACUCAUGUCAGAACCCUUGCACUGCAGCUCCGACAUUCUGUGCUGGACAGAAACCAGGAAGUGGGAGCACACAGGAGCCACAGGGAUCAUCGGAGGGGAUGAGGGGGAGCUGGGGGAACAACUUAGAGGUAUGAUGCCCACAUAUGCCCGCAGAACAGCUGGAUCUGUGGUGGGGAGUGCUAGAGAGCCGGAGAGAGAGGGAUGGGGAGCGGGUGUGCAAAAGGAGGGAGAGAGAGGAGCCAGGAGAGAGGAACACACACACACAGGAACAAGAGAGAAAUGAUUCAGAGGAAAAGAGAGGGGGAAAGCAGGAGGGGGAGGGGGAGAAUGGGAGAAAGAGGAUGAAAGAGGUGGAGGCCAGAGCCAGGCGGAGCAGAAAGCAGAGCAGGUGAAACGCCAGAGGACUUCUCCCCAGUCCUCACUGACCUUCCCUCCCACUGCCCGCCCCACGCCUGCAUCCCCACCCGAGGCCUCGCUGGCCGGGGAGGGAGGCAGGGGCAUGGUGGGUGCUUGUCUGUCCUGCAGUGGGGAUGAUCUUGUUGGACGUAAGCAGGAACUCUUAUUAUUUAUUUAUUUAUUUUUAUGGCCACCCCUGCAGCAUAUGGAAGUUCCCGGGCAGGCAUUGAAUCCGAGUUGCAGCUCUGACCUGCACUGUAGAUGUGGCAACACUGGACUGUUUAAUCCACUGCACCGGGCCAGGGUUGACCUGAGCCUCUGCAGCGACCUGAGCCACUGCAGUCAGCUUCUUUACCCACUGUGGCACAGUGGGAACUCCUAGAAGGAACUUCUAGAUUAAACAGCAUGACAGGCCCACAAGGGAAGUAGCCCUUCAUUGGAGCCCUGGCCUUCCUGAAGCAGGGGACUGGCCACCAUGACCUCCCGUCUUGUCUUAUUCUGAGUUGAUAGUACCCCCCCGGGAAGAAGGCAGGGUCAUGGUCAGGGGCUUAGGCGCCGGAGUCAAGCUGGGCUGGUGUGGUCACAGCAUCUGUCCAGGUGGGCCUCCUGACCGACCGGCUCCUCUCCACCCCCAGCUUUUGUUCUAGGAAAAGGCAGCUGGGGGAGGGGGUGGAGGGCAGGAGUGUUUCCAGGGAAAAAAACAGAUCCUUCCAUGGAACAGGCAGCUGGCGCCUCCAUCUCCCGCCACUUCACCCCUCCGCCUCCAUCCUGUCCCCCUCCUGCCACCGCCUCCAUUCCUUCCUUCCUCCCCUCUGGCAGGAGGAGCCCAGCAGCUGGAAAAGCCAUGCUCUGCUCCCAACUCCCACCUCAGCAGUGCUGAGCCCAGGGUGGCCCUGCAGAGGGUGUGUGUGUGCGUGUGAGAGAGAGAAAGCACUGCCUGGCCACCAUCGCCUGUAAUGCUGGCAGCGGGAGAGGCAGCCUGAGCUGACCACUUGGAGCCUUGGUUUUGUCAUCUGAAAUAUGGGCAUGACCCUUGCCCUGCUUCCCUAAUAGGGUCACAGAAACCAAGGAGGGAGGGGCAGGAACAUGUCCCUGAGGCCCCCUGAUCCCUCAUACCAGUCAUCAAGGCAGGUGCUGUUAUUAAUGUCCCCUUUUCCCAGCGAGAGCCUGAGGCUCAGAGAUGUAAAGGGCCCACAGCAGGAAGGGUAGCCCAGAGACUGCAGCCCAGUUCCGACCAACACGUUACCCACAAGGCCCCUGGGCGCCGCUUCCUCCCUCCAGGGCUCUGAGGCUCCUAGUCCCUCAUGCUGAAGAACUGCCUCUCCCCAGGGACUGGGGGGCCCUUCCUGACUUAGUGGACUUUCAGCAGGCUGUCUCAGCCUAAAGAAUCCCCACAGCCACCCCCCUCCCCCCGUCCAACUCCUUGUCAUUUAUUUGAGGAGCCUGAGGCCCAGGGGCCUAGAGCUUUAGGUUGCAAAACACGUGGGACAGAACUGGGAUUCCGGCUUCCUGCCUAAUGGUCCUGGCUGUGGGCUGUUUUUCUCUCUUCCUUCCUCUAAGCCCGAACUAGUUCCUGGAAGGGUUAUCAACACAGGCAUGCUCCCCUUCCUCUCUCUUUUCUGCCUGGCCCAAACCCCACCUAACCCUCCCCAAAUGGGGGGCUCAGCUGGGCAGGGAUGCUGAGUGAGGCUUCUGGACAUCCCUUCUGGCUCCCUUUCCCUUUCUGAGGUGUAAGCUCUGCCUCCUGCAGGCUGCUCAGCAGGACCCAGCCCUUCUCCAGACCUCAUCUUCACCCUGACCCCCUCAUCCCAGUGUAAACACCGUGGCCUUUGGCUGAGGCCCCUGAGACCAGCUCCUUGGUUGGUCAGCCUGGAGAUCCCCCCACAACCACCACCACCACCAGGGCACAGGAAACAGCCAGAAACAAGCCCCUUCCCCAGUAUCAACUUUUUCCUGAGUCCAAGUCUGAGGAGGCUUCCAGGAGGAGAAGGGAUUUAGGGAGUGCUUGCCAGUCCGAGGUGGCUUGGGUAGGGAUGGUGCCCAAAGCAGAGAGGGGAGUGAAGGUAGAUGGGGCUGGGGAAAGUUCCAGAACAUACUUGGCACGAGACCUGCAGCCCUCCUAGAGCCGGCUGACCAACACAACCAAAGGGACAGAGGGGGGACACAGCCAGAGGAGACAAGGCCUAGGGGCACAGAUACCAAGUCUGCUGGGAAGACACUGGGGCGGGGGUGACCCCCACGCACCCGGGCUCAGUCCACUGUGUCAACCACUAUCAGCCCUGAAGCUGCUGCUCUCCCUGGGCUCAGCUCAGUCUGUCACAUGUCAUGGCUGUUUUGGGGUGCCCGGUUCUGAGCUCUGGGGUGCCUCAGAUGCCAUACCUGCCCCUGGCAGGUACCACUUGGUGGGGCACUGCACACUCCCUGCAGCAGGAGUGGUUCCUGAUGGCCCAGAUCCCUGGGCUGGUGCUCCCGUCCCUCAGCUGCGUGCUGCUGGUAGUUCUCAGCUCACCCCCUCCAGAGGCUGCCCUUGGCUGAUGCCUGCAGGCAUUGAUAUUACGUGGUGAUGCCUGGGAAGUUAUAAGCAGUGACUGACUGACGUGGGUGGAUAGCAGCCUGGUCCCCUGGUCUCUGGAGUCCACAACUUCUUCGGUGCCAUUCACACUCCGGGAUUCCCAAGAAUCAGGCUGAGGCAAGAUUUCUCCUAAAAUUAUGUCCCGUUCAGCUUCUUCCUCUGCCCUGUUCUGCUUCCCUCACUUUCAUACCGAUUGAAGCUUUCAAUAAAGCACUUGCACAAAAAUUCCAUCUCAGUUUCUGAUUCUAGGGAGCUGACCUCAGAUACCCACAGAACUGACCUGGUCGCUUCUCCUAUAGCAUGGCAUUAGGCCUGGGGAAAGGGGAUGGGAGGCCCAGUCUUAGGGCACAGAAAAGCCUCCCCAAAAAGGUGACAUUUGAAUCAGGGCCUUGAAGGUUGAGUAAAAUUGUUGAGCUGAAUAGUGUCUGCUUCAUUUGAUAAAGUUUGCCUGAUUUAGGGAGUUCCCGUCGUGGCGCAGUGGUUAAUGAAUCCGACUAGGAACCAUGAGGUUGCAGAUUCGAUCCCUGGCCUUGCUAAGUGGGUUAAGGAUCCGGCGUUGCCGUGAGCUGUGGUGUAGGCCGGUGGCUAUAGCUCCGGUUCGACCCCUAGCCUGGGAACUUCCCUAUGCUGUGGGAGUGGCC